Molecule: non-coding RNA, 2364 nt
Organism: Callithrix jacchus (white-tufted-ear marmoset)
Lineage: Eukaryota; Metazoa; Chordata; Mammalia; Primates; Cebidae
Source: RefSeq, a predicted model, not a curated record
AAAGUCUUUCCAGCUGAAAGCCUUAAAACAUGGCAUCUGGGUUGCUUGUGGCUCCAGUAACUUAGCGCCGGGGGAAAUGGCCACAGGGACAGACCAGGUGGUGGGACUCGGCCUCGUCGCUGUUAGCCAGAUCAUCUUCACCUACUACACCGCCUGGGUGAUCUCUUGCCAUUCAUCGACAGCCAGCAUGUCAUCCACAAGUAUUUCCUGCCCCGUGCCUAUGCUGUUGCCAUCCCGCUGGCCGCAGGCCUCCUGCUACUCCUGUUUGUGGGACUGUUCAUCACCUACAUGAUGCUGAAGAGUGAGAGGGUGACCAAGAAGACUCAGUGAAGGUCCUGCGGGGAUGAGGCUGCCAGCCCCUUCUCUGCCUCCCCUCCAGGGCAGGGACCAAGCCCGGGAGCCUGCAGAACCUUCCCAGGCACAGUGGCGCCCCAAGCCUGGCUGUCCUGCAGAGUCCCCAUAGCAUGGAACUUAGCCCUGACUGACUGGAGCCCCCUCCCCUGCUCUCCUUUCCAGAAGCUAGGAGGGAGGGACACCUGGAAGACUGAUCACCCCUUUCUUGCCCAGGGCCUGAAAGAUGCUGGUCCUCCCAAUCUCACUCUCAGACCCCCUGCCACCUUUUCCCCUGGGUUCUGCCAUCAUGCCUCAUUUCCCCUCCUGUCACAUGCUGACAUUGGACUUAGCAGGUUCUAAGGCUGCAUGUGUGACGUCUGACCUCUCUCCACAAGCCCUCUCCUCCACCAAGGCAACUUUCCUUAGCCUGACACAGCGCCACACCCCAAAAGCCCUUCUGGACCUGGAAAGCCUGGGGAAGGACUGACAGACCCCAGGACCACCCGUAGGGCUCAGGGCACAUUAUGAGCCACCCCGGGCCCACUGACUGACCACUCCUCAUGGAGGCCCAGACCCCCAACCCCAGGGCUGGCUUAUUUGGGAGAGCUGACCAAUAAAUGCUGACUGAUUGAAAAAAAAAAAAAAAAAAAAAAAAACAUGGCAUCUGGAAGAAGGCCCUAGUCUAUUGCUCCCAGGGUGGUACUAUGUAGUCAUUAAACAGCCCACAGAUAAGGGAGUUAUUGCUCCCUGGUUAUUGGGCUGCCAGGAACUAAAUGAUGGAACUAAGUUUCACUUGAAACAUUCUCAAAUUAAAGCAAAAACAAGCCUUGCUUUGAGCUGUUGAAAAGGCAUUUUACUGAAAAUACCCAGAUGCUGUUGCUGUUCUUAAAUGUUUUUGAAAGGCAGAGGGUCAGGACUUUUCAGAAAGUCACUUAGAGGUCACCUCGCAUCAGCAAGCAACAGUCUGAACAGAUGCAAAAAUAAACAAUGAAAUUACGAACAGGAGGAAGAAACUAAAAUGAGGGUAGUUUUUACCAUAAAUAGGAAAGAGGCUGUGUCUUGUUUAUCUUCUCAUUUCCUGUGCAUAAUACAGAAACCUGGUAUGUAAUAGGCAUGCAUAUUAUUUGUAGCCUGACUGAAUACAUGAAGAAGGAAACCAAGAAGCAGCGGGCAGAUAAUAUACUUGGGAAAGGAGAACUGCAAAGGAGCUGGGUGGCUCAAGACCUCUGCAUGAUCCUCACAUGUCACACCAAUCUGCUGUGACAUAGCUGUACUACUCAUCAGAAUACCCCAAAAUGAAUUGUCUGCCUCCCUUAUAUACAGCUUUUAUUAUUUCCUAUCUUGAAUGGUUAAGAAUAUGUAGUAAUGGUUAAGAGACUCCACUGUGGAAUCAACCUGCGUGGCUUCAAAUUCCAGCCCUAAUAGUGAAUACCUGUGAACUAACUUGUUCAGUUGAUGUAACUUCAUCAGUGACUCGGGCUUAUCAUCUGUAAAAUGGGGAUUAUAGCAUUCCUGCCUCAUAGGGAGGUUAAGAGAUUUAAAUAUCAAUAAGUCUGUACAUUAUAAACCUUAUCAGAUUGGCAUGGCAGAAAUGCUCAGUAACUGAGCUUUGUGAGCUCAGUUGAGAUCCGCAUGAGGUAGCCUGCAUACUGGGCAUAUACAUUCUUCUGGAUUUGCUCCAUGAUAAGCUAAAGGCAUUUGGUAACCAAUAGGAAUGAAAUAAGGUUUCACACAGGAUUUUGGUGGGUGUUGUAGAUUUUAUCUGUCCCAUUUGUCCCAUUUCUCAACUUGAAGUAAGCCUGGCCUUGGUCUGCAUCUGUGCUCUCCCUUCCACAAAAGGCAGGCCCCGAGAGACUCCAGAAAUGGCACCUGUCUCCUGUGUGUACUCCACCACUUCGUCCACUUGGGCACUUCAAAGGUAUGAUCAGUACUUAUCUGAUUAAAAGAAAUCUUUGUAUAUACAGAUGUCUACAAAGGUUGAAUCUUUCAGAGGUAUAAAGUAGUUUAAAUAAACAAAUAAGCCCUCCAGUG